AUUUAGUAGACAGAAGCCUCGGCGGAAGAUUACUAAUGAGAGUGGCGAACGGGUGAGUAACGCGUGAGCAACCUGCCUAUGACAGUGGGAUAGCCUCGGGAAACCGGGAUUAAUACCGCAUAAAAUCGUAGAAACACAUGUUUUAACGGUCAAAGAUUUAUCGGUCAUAGAUGGGCUCGCGUCUGAUUAGCUAGUUGGUGAGAUAACAGCCCACCAAGGCGACGAUCAGUAGCCGGUCUGAGAGGAUGAACGGCCACAUUGGAACUGAGACACGGUCCAAACUCCUACGGGAGGCAGCAGUGGGGAAUAUUGCACAAUGGGGGGAACCCUGAUGUAGCGACGCCGCGUGAACGAAGAAGGUAUUCGUAUCGUAAAGUUCUGUCCUAUGGGAAG
Molecule: ribosomal RNA, 393 nt
Filed under: uncultured Finegoldia sp.
Lineage: Bacteria; Bacillati; Bacillota; Tissierellia; Tissierellales; Peptoniphilaceae
Description: bacterial SSU rRNA
Rfam family: Bacterial small subunit ribosomal RNA
Source: RNAcentral